This 449-nucleotide ribosomal RNA is filed under the name Vreelandella alkaliphila. RNAcentral describes it as "bacterial SSU rRNA". It matches the Rfam family "Bacterial small subunit ribosomal RNA", at positions 30 to 474 of the family's 1533-position model. Lineage: Bacteria; Pseudomonadati; Pseudomonadota; Gammaproteobacteria; Oceanospirillales; Halomonadaceae. The record is from RNAcentral.
AUUGAACGCUGGCGGCAGGCCUAACACAUGCAAGUCGAGCGGUAACAGGGGUAGCUUGCUACCCGCUGACGAGCGGCGGACGGGUGAGUAAUGCAUAGGAAUCUGCCCGAUAGUGGGGGAUAACCUGGGGAAACCCAGGCUAAUACCGCAUACGUCCUACGGGAGAAAGGGGGCUUCGGCUCUCGCUAUUGGAUGAGCCUAUGUCGGAUUAGCUAGUUGGUGAGGUAAUGGCUCACCAAGGCAACGAUCCGUAGCUGGUCUGAGAGGAUGAUCAGCCACAUCGGGACUGAGACACGGCCCGAACUCCUACGGGAGGCAGCAGUGGGGAAUAUUGGACAAUGGGCGAAAGCCUGAUCCAGCCAUGCCGCGUGUGUGAAGAAGGCCCUCGGGUUGUAAAGCACUUUCAGCGAGGAAGAACGCCUAGUGGUUAAUACCCAUUAGGAAAGACA